RNAcentral lists this transfer RNA (65 nucleotides) under Candidatus Woesearchaeota archaeon CG_4_10_14_0_2_um_filter_33_13. RNAcentral's name for it is "tRNA-Leu". It matches the Rfam family "tRNA", at positions 5 to 66 of the family's 71-position model. From Rfam's summary of the family: Transfer RNA (tRNA) molecules are approximately 80 nucleotides in length. The record is from RNAcentral. Lineage: Archaea; Nanobdellati; Candidatus Woesearchaeota.
CCGUGGCUUAGCCUGGUAGAGCGCACGUUCCAGAAUCGUGAGGUCCCGAGUUCAAAUCUCGGCGG